This 68-nucleotide transfer RNA is filed under the name human gut metagenome. It matches the Rfam family "tRNA". From Rfam's summary of the family: Transfer RNA (tRNA) molecules are approximately 80 nucleotides in length. Their secondary structure includes four short double-helical elements and three loops (D, anti-codon, and T loops). Further hydrogen bonds mediate the characteristic L-shaped molecular structure. tRNAs have two regions of fundamental functional importance: the anti-codon, which is responsible for specific mRNA codon recognition, and the 3' end, to which the tRNAs corresponding amino acid is attached (by aminoacyl-tRNA synthetases). tRNAs cope with the degeneracy of the genetic code in two manners: having more than one tRNA (with a specific anti-codon) for a particular amino acid; and 'wobble' base-pairing, i.e. permitting non-standard base-pairing at the 3rd anti-codon position. The record is from RNAcentral. RNAcentral also lists the same sequence under 1 other name.
CGGGUAGCUCAGUUGGAUAGAGCGUUGGCCUCCGAAGCCAAAGGCCGCGGGUUCGACUCCCGCCUCGC